RNAcentral lists this ribosomal RNA (253 nucleotides) under uncultured bacterium. Its description in RNAcentral is "partial 16S ribosomal RNA". It matches the Rfam family "Bacterial small subunit ribosomal RNA", at positions 524 to 776 of the family's 1533-position model. The record is from RNAcentral.
UACGGGGGGGGCAAGCGUUGUUCGGAAUUACUGGGCGUAAAGCGCACGUAGGCGGCUUUGUAAGUUAGAGGUGAAAGCCCGGGGCUCAACCCCGGAAUUGCCUUUAAGACUGCAUCGCUUGAAUCCGGGAGAGGUGAGUGGAAUUCCGAGUGUAGAGGUGAAAUUCGUAGAUAUUCGCAAGAACACCAGUGGCGAAGGCGGCUCACUGGCCCGGAACUGACGCUGAGACGCGAAAGCGUGGGGAGCAAACAGG